CGUCUCNGUUCAGAUUGCAGGCUGCAACUCGCCUGCAUGAAGUCGGAAUUGCUAGUAAUCGCAGAUCAGCAUGCUGCGGUGAAUACGUUCCCGGGCCUUGUACACACCGCCCGUCACACCAUGGGAGUCGGUAACACCCGAAGUCGGUAGCCUAACCGUAAGGAGGGCGCCGCCGAAGGUGGGGAUUGAUGACUGGGGUGAAGUCGUAACAAGGUAGC
RNAcentral lists this ribosomal RNA (218 nucleotides) under uncultured bacterium. RNAcentral's name for it is "partial 16S ribosomal RNA". It matches the Rfam family "Bacterial small subunit ribosomal RNA", at positions 1284 to 1500 of the family's 1533-position model. The record is from RNAcentral.